This 565-nucleotide ribosomal RNA is filed under the name Peltophryne cataulaciceps (Schwartz's Caribbean toad). RNAcentral describes it as "partial 16S ribosomal RNA". It matches the Rfam family "Bacterial large subunit ribosomal RNA", at positions 1819 to 2597 of the family's 2925-position model. Lineage: Eukaryota; Metazoa; Chordata; Amphibia; Anura; Bufonidae. The record is from RNAcentral.
CGCCUCUUGAAUUAAUAUAAGAGGUCCAGCCUGCCCAGUGACCAUGUUUAACGGCCGCGGUAUCCUAACCGUGCGAAGGUAGCGUAAUCACUUGUUCUUUAAAUGAGGACUAGUAUGAACGGCAUCACGAGGGUUAUACUGUCUCCUUUUUCCAAUCAGUGAACCUAAUCUCCCCGUGAAGAAGCGGGGAUAAGAUUAUAAGACGAGAAGACCCUAUGGAGCUUAAAACAUUACAGCACCUGCUAAAGACCUAACAAUUUCAGAAUUUUCACUUUUUAAGCACCAUGACUGUAAGUUUUUGGUUGGGGUGACCACGGAGCACAAUAUAACCUCCAUGUUGAAAGAACACUUCUUCUAAGCCAAAAAUCACACUUUUAAGCAUUAAUAAAUUAACAUCUAUUGACCCAAUAUACUUGAACAACGAACCAAGUUACCCUAGGGAUAACAGCGCAAUCCACUUCAAGAGCUCCUAUCGACAAGUGGGUUUACGACCUCGAUGUUGGAUCAGGGUUUCCCAGUGGUGCAGCCGCUACUAAAGGUUCGUUUGUUCAACGAUUAAAACCCU